UACAUUUUAGUAUAUAAUGUACGGGAGUUUUUGAUACUCUAGGAGAUAAUUAGGUUUGUUAAAUGUAA
Molecule: transfer RNA, 68 nt
Filed under: Trigonopterus puspoi
Lineage: Eukaryota; Metazoa; Arthropoda; Insecta; Coleoptera; Curculionidae
Description: tRNA-Gln
Source: RNAcentral